UCACAAUACUUCAAACAAAAACCACAGCAGGUAUUUUUCUGCCAGUGGAGCUCAAAACAAGUAGCUGCUUAUUUAGGGCAGGCAACGCAGGGCCCAGGUAUUUAAUCAGAAUAAGUGUGGGUCUGAAACCGCGUACACUCUCAGAAGCCUGGGGACGGGAAUAUCCGUCUCAGAUUUGUUUGGCCAGGAUCAGUCACCGUGGAAUCCGAAUGGAGCCCUUGGCAGGAUCAGUUCCUGAAAGUUCACUCUCUUUGCUUCCUGCUGAUGGGUGAAGAUGUGAAUCCUCAGUUUCCAGCUCCAGCCGCUAUACCUGCAUGCUGUCACACUUCCUCGAGGGGCCAGUGAUGGACUCUUACACCUCUGGCACUGCAGGCAUCCAGGUGUACAGAAACCCAAGUACACGAGGAACCACAUUAGAACCCAGGGGGCUUUAAUUUUGUGCUUGAAUUAGAUUUCGUUAUCCUGGAUUACGAUCUACACUGACUCUUAGUUCAUGAACAAACUUUCUUCUGGAAUCUUUCCCCACUUGUUUAUCUGCCACUGUCCAAUCGUCUCCCGGUGAAGUGAGGCUGACUAAAGAGACCCUUCACGGGCUAGUGUGGAUGUGACAUGUCUCUGGCCUCUCGCAGUCAUGCCAGCCAGGGACAGAUUUUCCUCUCUUCUUCAAGGUGGGGAUGAGAGCAAAGAAGCAAGCACAAAACAACUCUGCUGGCAAGGCAGACAGUGGGCACUGAAGAAUAGCGUGUACUUUUUCUUUUUCUUAUAACUUACAGGCAUCAUCUCUUGGGAAUGGAAUGUCAAGGUCUCGGUGUUCUAGUCUCUCUCCGAAAGAGGGUACCAUUCUGGGAACCCAGAUAAAAGAAAUAUUGUCAAAUGGCCAUGAAGAUGCCUCAGCUAGAUUGCCUAACAGCCUUGUCCCACACCAUGCCUGUAGGUGCUGACGUUUCUGCCUUAUAUUGUAUUAAGUUGUUCUAUUCUCCUUGCUGUAACCAAAUGCAACCCAAAGGCAGAGAAGUGUAUUCUGGCUCACAGCUCAGAAAAUGGGGAGGCGAGGCAUGAGGUUGGGAGCAGUCUGGUCCUUGGUGCCACACAGUGAGCAGGGGCAAAGCAAAGCUAUGGUCUGCUGGCUUUCUCUCUCUCUCUUUCUCUCUCUCUCUCUCUCUCUCUCUCUCUCUCUCUCUCUCUCUCUCUCUCUCUUUUCCAGUUCUAUUCAUUAGGCGACCUCAGCAUGCAGGAUGAAGUCACCUAUGUUCAGCGUUUGUCCCCCCUCUUCAGUUAACCUCUCUGUAAACUGUACCUUAGUGAUACCCUAGGUUUUCAACACGGAGUUAGUUUCACAAUGGAAGUUAGCCAUCAUAAGUUAACCCCUUGUCAACAGGACACUCAAACAUAGCCCACGGCAACUGUACUUUUCCUAGCACUUGGUUUUCUGAAUGAGCGUGCCUCUUAGGUCUGCUGCACAUUUUCCUAUUUGAAGUGUGUUGAUCAGGGGCUCUAUGCAUAUGCAUGGUGAGGCUGUAUGACUCUUCCGCCUCUGCUGGAGGCCAUUCACAUUCAAGCCACCUCUGCAUUGAGCUAUGGGGGUGCGGUGAGACCUGGCUGAGUGUCAGGCUGGCCCUUGAUCCUUCCUGGUAAGCUCAGAAUUCCUCCUUGCUUCCACUUCUCAUGUCCCCCCCAUGAGAAUUGGCUAGUUCAAGCACCUGAUCCCAGACAUCAGGCUGAAAACUUCUGAUGAUGGGGAUCAAAGGAAUCAAAGGAGAUAAAGGUCAUUCUCUUUGGGAGUGUUUUCCCCAAAUGAUGUUUACUUCAACAAUUGAAGUGUUGCUAUGACAGUCAUUGAGAAUGUGUUGCUAUGACAGUCAUUGAGAAUGAGAACAAAAGCCUUUAAGAAAGUAAACAGUGAGAAUAAAACACAGCGAACAGACCAGGAGCUUCAUAGAGAAGUAUGGUGGUGUGUAUAUGCUCAGCCCGGGGAGUGACAUUAUUAGAAAGUGUG
Molecule: long non-coding RNA, 1996 nt
Organism: Mus musculus (house mouse)
Lineage: Eukaryota; Metazoa; Chordata; Mammalia; Rodentia; Muridae
Product: predicted gene, 36231
Exons: 4
Source: RefSeq, a predicted model, not a curated record